Molecule: ribosomal RNA, 498 nt
Filed under: uncultured bacterium
Lineage: Bacteria
Description: partial 16S ribosomal RNA
Rfam family: Bacterial small subunit ribosomal RNA
Source: RNAcentral
AUUGAACGCUGGCGGCAUGCCUUACACAUGCAAGUCGAACGGUAACAGGUCUUCGGAUGCUGACGAGUGGCGAACGGGUGAGUAAUACAUCGGAACGUGCCUAGUAGUGGGGGAUAACUACUCGAAAGAGUGGCUAAUACCGCAUGAGAUCCACGGAUGAAAGCAGGGGAUCGCAAGACCUUGUGCUACUAGAGCGGCCGAUGGCAGAUUAGGUAGUUGGUGGGAUAAAAGCUUACCAAGCCGACGAUCUGUAGCUGGUCUGAGAGGACGAUCAGCCACACUGGGACUGAGACACGGCCCAGACUCCUACGGGAGGCAGCAGUGGGGAAUUUUGGACAAUGGGCGAAAGCCUGAUCCAGCAAUGCCGCGUGCAGGAUGAAGGCCUUCGGGUUGUAAACUGCUUUUGUACGGAACGAAAAGCCCCGGGUUAAUACCCUGGGGUCAUGACGGUACCGUAAGAAUAAGCACCGGCUAACUACGUGCCAGCCGCCGGGGUAA